UGUAAGGGCACGAAAAGUCUUGACGGAGCAACGCCGCGUGAGUGAGAAGGUUUUCGGAUCGUAAAGCUCUGUUGUUAGGGAAGAACAAGUACCGUUCGAAUAGGGCGGUACCUUGACGGUACCUAACUAGAAAGCCACGGCUAACUACGUGCCAGCAGCCGCGGUAAUACGUAGGUGGCAAGCGUUGUCCGGAAUUAUUGGGCGUAAAGGGCUCGCAGGCGGUUUCUUAAGUCUGAUGUGAAAGCCCCCGGCUCAACCGGGGAGGGUCAUUGGAAACUGGGGAACUUGAGUGCAGAAGAGGAGAGUGGAAUUCCACGUGUAGCGGCGAAAUGCGUAGAGAUGUGGAGGAUUAUCAGUGGC
This 360-nucleotide ribosomal RNA is filed under the name Bacillus spizizenii. RNAcentral describes it as "bacterial SSU rRNA". It matches the Rfam family "Bacterial small subunit ribosomal RNA", at positions 367 to 716 of the family's 1533-position model. Lineage: Bacteria; Bacillati; Bacillota; Bacilli; Caryophanales; Bacillaceae. The record is from RNAcentral.